GUUUGUAGAGCAUUCUUUGGCAAUUAUGGACCAUUCUUACCCUAUGUCAGGAUACAGCCAAGCAAGCCCACGCAUUACUCUACGUAGCCUUGGUAUUCCAGUACUACUUAGAUGACUGAAACAGGCGUUCGCUGGCAUGCUUAUUUCAGAUGCCAAAUUCUUCUGGAGGGCUCCUGCAGUUUAUAAUUUGAUAAUUGAUGAUCGUUAGAAGUUUUAAUCCUAUAUAUUGCCUGUCUACCUGACAUUCGCAUCCAAAUUUGUGGCCUAAGAGAGUGAGGUAUCCCACAACGGACCAUUUCCCUCAGUUUGUCAGUUCUUGGUAAACGUUGGUCUAUGUGCUGCCAGGAAAGUUCCGAGACUUCUUUAUUAUGGCUAAAUUCAAGAAGAGCUACCCAUUGUAGCCUAAAGCAAUAAAGAGUUUAGAAUAAAAAAUUUUUCAUACAGUGUAGGAAGAUAAAUUGAAGAGAACAAACCUGUGUUGAGGAUCUUCAACAAAUGGAAUACCUAGUAACUUUUUUGAACUCUGCUCAGGACCAUCUUCCUCCUCUACUCGAAAACCAAAUUCAUCGAAUCUUAAAAGCUGAGAAUUAGGAUCAUCAGGCUGAUUAAGCUUUGCCAAUAUAUCCUGUGGCCACAUUGAUGGUGUAAGAGCUGAAAAUGGCCCUCCAGGUGCUGGAGAUAAGCCUUCUCCAUCGAGGCCAGUUCCAUCUAGUUCAUAUUCAUCGUCAGAUAUAGCAGUUUCCAACUUUUUCUAAAAUAAAAAUGGAAAAUGAC
This is a long non-coding RNA of Cephus cinctus (wheat stem sawfly), 774 nucleotides long. RefSeq lists it as uncharacterized. The record is from RefSeq and is a predicted model, not a curated record. The transcript has 3 exons. NCBI's taxonomy places the organism in Eukaryota, Metazoa, Arthropoda, Insecta, Hymenoptera, Cephidae.